UACGUAGGGUGCGAGCGUUAAUCGGAAUUACUGGGCGUAAAGCGUGCGCAGGCGGUUUUGUAAGCCAGAUGUGAAAUCCCCGGGCUUAACCUGGGAAUGGCAUUUGGGGACUGCAAGGCUGGAGUGCGGCAGAGGAGACUGGAAUUCCCGGUGUAGUGGUGAAAUGCGUAGAGAUCGGGAGGAACACCAGUGGCGAAGGCGGCCGGCUGGGGGUGACCUGACGCUGAGGCGCGAAAGCGUGGGGAGCGAACCGG
Molecule: ribosomal RNA, 254 nt
Filed under: uncultured bacterium
Lineage: Bacteria
Description: partial 16S ribosomal RNA
Rfam family: Bacterial small subunit ribosomal RNA
Source: RNAcentral